Molecule: transfer RNA, 75 nt
Filed under: Parcubacteria bacterium DG_72
Lineage: Bacteria; Candidatus Parcubacteria
Description: tRNA-Arg
Rfam family: tRNA
About the family: Transfer RNA (tRNA) molecules are approximately 80 nucleotides in length. Their secondary structure includes four short double-helical elements and three loops (D, anti-codon, and T loops). Further hydrogen bonds mediate the characteristic L-shaped molecular structure. tRNAs have two regions of fundamental functional importance: the anti-codon, which is responsible for specific mRNA codon recognition, and the 3' end, to which the tRNAs corresponding amino acid is attached (by aminoacyl-tRNA synthetases). tRNAs cope with the degeneracy of the genetic code in two manners: having more than one tRNA (with a specific anti-codon) for a particular amino acid; and 'wobble' base-pairing, i.e. permitting non-standard base-pairing at the 3rd anti-codon position.
Source: RNAcentral
GCCCUCGUGGUGAAAUGGAUAUCAUGUAGAGCUUCGGACUCUAAGUUCCGGGUUCGAGUCCUGGCGGGGGCACAA